Anolis carolinensis (green anole) is the source of this 124-nucleotide non-coding RNA. Lineage: Eukaryota; Metazoa; Chordata; Lepidosauria; Squamata; Anolidae. The record is from Rfam.
GAAAACUAUUUUUUUGGCCUAAAUAAAGGAGCCCAAUCCUAUUUGAUCUUGGAAGCUAAGCAGGGUCAGCCCUGGUUAGUACUUGGAUGAGCGUCUGCCAAUGAAUACCAGGUGAUGGCAGUGA